This 644-nucleotide ribosomal RNA is filed under the name uncultured bacterium. RNAcentral describes it as "bacterial SSU rRNA". It matches the Rfam family "Bacterial small subunit ribosomal RNA", at positions 143 to 803 of the family's 1533-position model. The record is from RNAcentral.
AUAACAUUCUGAAAAGAAUGCUAAUACCGCAUGACAUAUCGGAACCACAUGGUUGUGAUAUCAAAGAUUUUAUCGCUUGAAGAUGGACUCGCGUCCGAUUAGUUAGUUGGUGAGGUAACGGCUCACCAAGACCGCGAUCGGUAGCCGGACUGAGAGGUUGAACGGCCACAUUGGGACUGAGACACGGCCCAGACUCCUACGGGAGGCAGCAGUGGGGGAUAUUGCGCAAUGGGGGCAACCCUGACGCAGCAACGCCGCGUGAAGGAUGAAGGUUUUCGGAUUGUAAACUUCUUUUAUUAAGGACGAAAAAUGACGGUACUUAAUGAAUAAGCUCCGGCUAACUACGUGCCAGCAGCCGCGGUAAUACGUAGGGAGCAAGCGUUGUCCGGAUUUACUGGGUGUAAAGGGUGCGUAGGCGGCUUUGCAAGUCAGAUGUGAAAUCUAUGGGCUCAACCCAUAAACUGCAUUUGAAACUGUAGAGCUUGAGUGAAGUAGAGGCAGGCGGAAUUCCCCGUGUAGCGGUGAAAUGCGUAGAGAUGGGGAGGAACACCGGUGGCGAAGGCGGCCUGCUGGGCUUUAACUGACGCUGAGGCACGAAAGCGUGGGUAGCAAACAGGAUUAGAUACCCUGGUAGUCCACGCUGU